This 253-nucleotide ribosomal RNA is filed under the name uncultured bacterium. RNAcentral's name for it is "partial 16S ribosomal RNA". It matches the Rfam family "Bacterial small subunit ribosomal RNA", at positions 524 to 776 of the family's 1533-position model. The record is from RNAcentral.
UACGGAGGGUGCGAGCGUUGUCCGGAAUCACUGGGCGUAAAGGGCGCGUAGGCGGCGCGGGAAGUCAUCGGUGAAAGUUCAGGGCUCAACUCUGAAUCGGCCGGUGUUACUCUCGUGCUCGAGCACUGUAGAGGCAGGUGGAAUUCCGGGUGUAGCGGUGAAAUGCGCAGAUAUCAGGAGGAACACCAAUUGCGAAGGCAGCUCGCUGGGACGUUACUGACGCUGAGACGCGAAAGCGUGGGGAGCAAACAGG